CUGCUGCCUUCCGUAGGAGUCUGGUCCGUGUCUCAGUACCAGUGUGGGGGACCUUCCUCUCAGAACCCCUACGCAUCGUCGGUUAGGUGGGCCGUUACCCCGCCUACUGCCUAAUGCGCCGCAUGCCCAUCCCUGUCCGGCCGAAGCCUUUCCUGCCUCCGGGAUGCCCCGGUGGCAUGUACGCGGGUUUAGCCCCGCCUUUCGGCGGGUUGUCCCCCUGACAGGGGCAGGUUGCAUACGUGUUACUCACCCGUGCGCCGGUCGCCGGCGGAGAAAG
RNAcentral lists this ribosomal RNA (277 nucleotides) under uncultured bacterium. Its description in RNAcentral is "partial 16S ribosomal RNA". The record is from RNAcentral.